UUGGUGGUCGUCUAGCGUGAGUGACACCUGCAUCUGUAACUUACCCAUUGGAUGUUCUUCGAAAUCACCUGACAACACAGAAAACCACUAGGUAUUACAAGGGCAUCUUUCACACGUUGUCUACAAUUUGUAGAGAAGAGAAUAGUAGAGGAUUGUAUAAAGGCCUUUGGUCCACCUUAUUGUAUCAUUUUUUGUCAAGAAACUGAGAAGACGGAAGAGAGUUGGUGUUGUCAGUGUGGUGAGCCUAUGCGGCAACCACAAGGCUGAAGUCUGCUUUGAUCGUUAUUCAAGAUUUGAGCCUUGGCUCCGGUUUUGAUAGCUCUAUAUCAACUUUCAGCGAGUUUUUGUUCUCGGACUUGGGAUCCACAGUCCAAAG
Triticum dicoccoides is the source of this 376-nucleotide long non-coding RNA. RefSeq lists it as uncharacterized. The transcript has 4 exons. Lineage: Eukaryota; Viridiplantae; Streptophyta; Magnoliopsida; Poales; Poaceae. The record is from RefSeq and is a predicted model, not a curated record.